RNAcentral lists this non-coding RNA (148 nucleotides) under Nomascus leucogenys (northern white-cheeked gibbon). The record is from Rfam by way of RNAcentral. Lineage: Eukaryota; Metazoa; Chordata; Mammalia; Primates; Hylobatidae.
GCUGGGUGUGGUGGUGGGCGCCUGUAAUCCCAGUUACUUGGGAGGCUGAGUCAGGAGAAUUGCUUGAGCCCAGGAGGUGGAGGUUGCAGUGAGCUGAGAUCACACCACUGCACUCCAGCCUGAGCAACAGAGCAAGACUCUGUCUCAA